This 29-nucleotide non-coding RNA is filed under the name Mus musculus (house mouse). The record is from RNAcentral. Lineage: Eukaryota; Metazoa; Chordata; Mammalia; Rodentia; Muridae.
UGAGCAUCAUUAAUGUUAAGGUUGAAGCA